AGACGGGUGUAGUAACGCGUGGUCAACCUACCGUUGAGUGGGGGAUAACUAGCCGAAAGGUUAGCUAAUACCGCAUACGAGUCCCGGGGGCAUCCCUGGGCCUUAAAAGGAGCAAUCCGCUCGAUGACGGGACCGCGUCCCAUUAGCUAGAUGGUGGGGUAACGGCCUACCAUGGCACCGAUGGGUAGCUGGUUUGAGAGAGCGACCAGCCACACUGGGACUGAGAAACGGCCCAGACUCCUACGGGAGGCAGCAGUGAGGAAUUUUCCGCAAUGGGCGAAAGCCUGACGGAGCGACGCCGCGUGUGGGAAGAAGGCCUUCGGGUCGUAAACCACUGUCGAAGGGGACGAUAAUGACGGUACCCUUGGAGGAAGCCCCGGUAACUACGUGCCAGCAGCCGCGGUAAGACGUAGGGGGGCGAGCGUUAUUCCGGAAUUCAUUUGGGCGUAAAGCGCUCGUAGGCGGGAUCGAUAGUCCGUGAAGAAAGACCUGGGCUCAACUCAGGGGAACGGCACGGAUACUUCGAUUCUUGAGGCAAUCCAGAGGGGUGAUGGGAUUUCCCCGGUGGUAGCGGUGGAAAAUGGCGUAGAAUAUCC
Molecule: ribosomal RNA, 596 nt
Filed under: uncultured bacterium
Lineage: Bacteria
Description: bacterial SSU rRNA
Rfam family: Bacterial small subunit ribosomal RNA
Source: RNAcentral